GAAUCUUAGACAAUGGGGGCAACCCUGAUCUAGCCAUGCCGCGUGAGUGAUGAAGGCCCUAGGGUCGUAAAGCUCUUUCGCCGGGGAAGAUAAUGACUGUACCCGGUAAAGAAACCCCGGCUAACUCCGUGCCAGCCGCCGCGGUAAUACGGAGGGGGUUAGCGUUGUUCGGAAUUACUGGGCGUAAAGCGCGCGUAGGCGGAUAUUCAAGUCGGGGGUGAAAUCCCGGGGCUCAACCCCGGAACUGCCUUCGAUACUGGAUGUCUGGAGUUCGAGAGAGGUGAGUGGAAUUCCGAGUGUAGAGGUGAAAUUCGUAGAUAUUCGGAGGAACACCAGUGGCGAAGGCGGCUCACUGGCUCGAUACUGACGCUGAGGCGCGAAAGCGUGGGGAGCAAACAGG
This 400-nucleotide ribosomal RNA is filed under the name uncultured bacterium. Its description in RNAcentral is "bacterial SSU rRNA". It matches the Rfam family "Bacterial small subunit ribosomal RNA", at positions 359 to 776 of the family's 1533-position model. The record is from RNAcentral.